RNAcentral lists this ribosomal RNA (466 nucleotides) under uncultured bacterium. RNAcentral describes it as "partial 16S ribosomal RNA". It matches the Rfam family "Bacterial small subunit ribosomal RNA", at positions 28 to 507 of the family's 1533-position model. The record is from RNAcentral.
GAUGAACGCUGGCGGCGUGCUUAACACAUGCAAGUCGAACGAUGAAGCCCAGCUUGCUGGGUGGAUUAGUGGCGAACGGGUGAGUAACACGUGAGUAACCUGCCCUUAACUCUGGGAUAAGCCUGGGAAACUGGGUCUAAUACCGGAUAGGAGCGUCCACCGCAUGGUGGGUGUUGGAAAGAUUUAUCGGUUUUGGAUGGACUCGCGGCCUAUCAGCUUGUUGGUGAGGUAAUGGCUCACCAAGGCGACGACGGGUAGCCGGCCUGAGAGGGUGACCGGCCACACUGGGACUGAGACACGGCCCAGACUCCUACGGGAGGCAGCAGUGGGGAAUAUUGCACAAUGGGCGCAAGCCUGAUGCAGCGACGCCGCGUGAGGAAUGACGGCCUUCGGGUUGUAAACCUCUUUCAGUAGGGAAGAAGCGAAAGUGACGGUACCUGCAGAAGAAGCACCGGCUAACUACGUG